RNAcentral lists this transfer-messenger RNA (381 nucleotides) under Halomonadaceae bacterium. It matches the Rfam family "transfer-messenger RNA". Rfam says of the family: Bacterial tmRNA, also known as 10Sa RNA or SsrA, is named for its dual tRNA and mRNA-like properties. The record is from RNAcentral. Lineage: Bacteria; Pseudomonadati; Pseudomonadota; Gammaproteobacteria; Oceanospirillales; Halomonadaceae.
GGGGGCGACAUGGCUUCGACGCCGGUGACAACCUCCUAGGUGCAUGCCGAGAGCGUGAUGUAUCUCGUAAAUCCAACAUCACGAAUGAAUAGUCGCAAACGACGACAACUACGCUCAGGGCGCGCUGGCAGCCUAACAGCUGUUAGCUUCUAGUCCGGCCCCAAAGUGAUGUGCCCAUUCAUCACGGCGGGGAUAUGAGCGCAAGCUGAUGGGAUCGCGGUUGACGGUGUCCUCUCGUCAAACGCUAAAUCUUAGAGGAAUCGCGUUGGCUGGAUCCUGCCCGUUGGAGCCAGUCGCGUUAAAUCAAAAAACGGACCUAAGCAUGUAGAGCCGACGAGCGAGUGCUGGCGGACGCGGGUUCAAUUCCCGCCGCCUCCACCA